AACGAACGCUGGCGGCAUGCCUAACACAUGCAAGUCGAACGAGACCUCCGGGCCUUGUGGCGCACGGGUGCGUAACGCGUGGGAACCUGCCCUUAGGUUCGGAAUAACUCCCCGAAAGGGGUGCUAAUACAGGAUAAUGUCUUCGGGCCAAAGAUUUAUUGCGGUUGGAUGGGCCCGCGUUGGUUUAGCCGGUUGGUAGGGUAAUAGCCGGUCAAGGCGUCGAUGCAUAGCUGGUGGGUGAGGAUGAUCAGCCACACUGGGACUGCGACACGGCCUAGACUCGGACGGAAGGCAGGAGUGGGGAAUAUUGGAGGAGGGAGGCAGGUCUGAUCACGCAAUGUCGCGUGAGUGAUGAAGGGCUUAGGGUUCUAAAGCUCUUUUACCCGGGAUGAUAAUGACGGUACCGGGUGAAUAAGCUCCGGCUAACUCCGUG
Molecule: ribosomal RNA, 433 nt
Filed under: uncultured bacterium
Lineage: Bacteria
Description: partial 16S ribosomal RNA
Rfam family: Bacterial small subunit ribosomal RNA
Source: RNAcentral